AUUGAACGCUGGCGGAAUGCUUUACACAUGCAAGUCGAACGGCAGCACGGACUUCGGUCUGGUGGCGAGUGGCGAACGGGUGAGUAAUGUAUCGGAACGUGCCCAGUCGUGGGGGAUAACGUAGUGAAAAUUACGCUAAUACCGCAUACGAUCUAUGGAUGAAAGCGGGGGAUCGCAAGACCUUGCGCGAUUGGAGCGGCCGAUAUCCGAUUAGGUAGUUGGUGGGGUAAAGGCCCACCAAGCCAACGAUCUGUAGCUGGUCUGAGAGGACGACCAGCCACACUGGAACUGAGACACGGUCCAGACUCCUACGGGAGGCAGCAGUGGGGAAUUUUGGACAAUGGGCGAAAGCCUGAUCCAGCCAUUCCGCGUGCAGGAUGAAGGCCCUCGGGUUGUAAACUACUUUUGUACAGAACGAAAAGGUUUCUACUAAUACUAGGAGCUCAUGACGGUACUGUAAGAAUAAGCACCGGCUAACUACGUGCCAGCCGCCGCAGUAA
This 500-nucleotide ribosomal RNA is filed under the name uncultured bacterium. RNAcentral's name for it is "partial 16S ribosomal RNA". It matches the Rfam family "Bacterial small subunit ribosomal RNA", at positions 30 to 523 of the family's 1533-position model. The record is from RNAcentral.